Myodes glareolus (Bank vole) is the source of this 1314-nucleotide non-coding RNA. NCBI's taxonomy places the organism in Eukaryota, Metazoa, Chordata, Mammalia, Rodentia, Cricetidae. The record is from RefSeq and is a predicted model, not a curated record.
ACCAUGGAACGGGAAACGGAAGAUUCUUGACUCUGACCACUGUGUGAACUGUGGGAUCACUCAGUCAUGGGAAACACCGGGAGAGGAACAGACUUGUGAAGGAAGCUGUUCGGUAAUGCUUUGUGUUGUUCACGGAACAUCCAAACAGUAGUCACCUCCCCUGGCACAGAAAGAAGUCUGAGGGGAUAACAGAUUUGAGAGCUGACAGUAAUAUAGAGGUUCUUUAGAAACAUGGGAAUGACCCAUUGGGGAAAUGAGAAGGGCUGCAAAGCAAGUGAUUUCUGCCCAUGAUCCUUGCCGCCAAGUUCCCCUCCUGCGUGCCAAAUCCAGCCAAGCUUGGAAACACAAGUCAGACGGCAGAAACAGUUUGGAGAAGCCAGACUUGCCCAGAAUUACACAGGCACUCAAGAGCAAGACUAAACUGUAAAGCCCUGAAUCCGAGACAGAAAAGAAUAAUGAUCCUGAGCCCGGAAGGAGGCUGGAGAAGGGCCACCUCAUCAUUGCGCUGAGCUGGCUGUUUGACCUUAGGACACCUUCCAUUUGAUCGCAGCUGCAAUCUUGGAGCCCAGAAAGAGCUUACAUCAGAAGGGCUUCGAAUUCAUUCACUCCUCACCCCACCGGUUCCCACCAGAGCCACGCCUCCCUUUCGGAGGCCGCUGGGGAAAAGGAUGAGGUAGGCCAUAGCUUGUCCCUUUAAUGCGCGCCCCCAGAGGCCCGGCGCGCCCCCGCCACUAUAACUAGAGUGCAUGGAGCGGGCUGAGCUCAGAGGGAGAAGGACGGGCUCUGGGCACCCGCUGAUCGACUUUUUUCAAGUGCGAUCAGCUCCCUUACGUUCCUCCUCUAUGGACCCACCCGCGGGCACCCACCACUGAGGAUCCCACACCCGCUGGGCUCCCCGACUGGGUUCCACCCAGGUACCAGACAGUGAACCCCGAGGGCUGUGAGGGCUCCGGGCUUGAGUUCUUGCAGUGCCGUCGGACGAGGGCUGUGUUGCUGCCACGCCUCACGCCCCACACUACCCUCCCCAUGCUGGUGCACACUUACUCCGCCAUGGUGAGUAGUCCCGGGCACACUCGGCGGUGAGUGGGGGAUCGAGGAACCUGGGUGCUGGAACUUCCAAACCUCCUACCCCCUGCGUCAACGAAAUCGCGAGGGAAGGGUGAUGCAGGGCCUCUGCCAGGCUGAGAAAGUGGUGGCAGGAGCCCGAGGUCCCCAGCCUGGGAGUUCUGCCCGCAGGGCAUUCACUCGUGGACAGCAGCAGGACCCUCGUGAGCUGAGGGGCACCUCGCGGGCUGGUGUCUUUUUAUCCUCUAA